CCUACGGGCGGCUGCAGUGGGGAAUAUUGGACAAUGGGGGGAACCCUGAUCCAGCGACGCCGCGUGAGUGAAGAAGUAUUUCGGUAUGUAAAGCUCUAUCAGCAGGGAAGAAAGAAAUGACGGUACCUGACUAAGAAGCCCCGGCUAACUACGUGCCAGCAGCCGCGGUAAUACGUAGGGGGCAAGCGUUAUCCGGAUUUACUGGGUGUAAAGGGAGCGUAGACGGCGAUGCAAGUCUGAAGUGAAAGGCGGGGGCCCAACCCCCGGACUGCUUUGGAAACUGUAUGGCUGGAGUGCAGGAGAGGUAAGUGGAAUUCCUAGUGUAGCGGUGAAAUGAGUAGAUAUUAGGAGGAAAACCAGUGGCGAAGGCGGCUUACUGGACUGUAACUGACGUUGAGGCUCGAAAGCGUGGGGAGCAAACAGGAGUAGAUACCCCUGUAGUC
Molecule: ribosomal RNA, 443 nt
Filed under: uncultured bacterium
Lineage: Bacteria
Description: partial 16S ribosomal RNA
Rfam family: Bacterial small subunit ribosomal RNA
Source: RNAcentral